This 172-nucleotide ribosomal RNA is filed under the name uncultured eukaryote. RNAcentral's name for it is "partial small subunit ribosomal RNA". It matches the Rfam family "Eukaryotic small subunit ribosomal RNA", at positions 1662 to 1828 of the family's 1831-position model. The record is from RNAcentral.
GUAUACACCGCCCGUCGCUCCUACCGAUUGGGUGAUCCGGUGAAAUGUUCGGAGGUCGGUCGUUCCCGCCGGGGCGACUCGGCGGUGGCCGGCCGAAGUCCAUUGAACCAUAUCAUUUAGAGGAAGGAGAAGUCGUAAUAAGGUUUCCGUAGGUGAACCUGCAGAAGGAUCA